ACGUAGGGUGCGAGCGUUAAUCGGAAUUACUGGGCGUAAAGCGUGCGCAGGCGGUGAUGUAAGACAGAUGUGAAAUCCCCGGGCUCAACCUGGGAACUGCGUUUGUGACUGCAUCACUUGAGUACGGGAGAGGGAGGUGGAAUUCCGGGUGUAGCAGCGGAAUGCGUAGAUAUGCGGAGGAACACCGAUGGCGAAGGCAGCCUCCUGGGCCAGUACUGACGCUCAGGUGCGAAAGCGUGGGGAGCAAACAG
Molecule: ribosomal RNA, 251 nt
Filed under: uncultured prokaryote
Description: partial 16S ribosomal RNA
Rfam family: Bacterial small subunit ribosomal RNA
Source: RNAcentral